This 314-nucleotide long non-coding RNA is filed under the name Carica papaya (papaya). RNAcentral's name for it is "long non-coding RNA (CPAP_LNC002138)". Lineage: Eukaryota; Viridiplantae; Streptophyta; Magnoliopsida; Brassicales; Caricaceae. The record is from RNAcentral.
ACCCAAUAAUCUCCCAGCCCAACACAUAAAAAAGCCCAGUUAAAUAAUCAAUAAGAUCUGCCUCUUCCUUUCAUGUCUAUAUGCAUUUUUCGCCCGCCACUUAUUACACCUUUGUCACAACUCCUCCCAUAAGGUCUUCUAUAAUUAGAUCAUGUUAUCGCUUCCCUUUAGAUAAAACAUAAAUCAUGCCUAGACGAAUUAGCAAUACCUCUUCACAAAACCCGUCCUCUACCAUUAGUUGCAAAGCCUCGAUGGUGAGCUAAUAACCCUUCUACUCUCCAUGAAAUUUCUUAUAACAAAUUUUCAUAAUCUUC